RNAcentral lists this unclassified non-coding RNA (255 nucleotides) under fungal sp. RNAcentral describes it as "partial internal transcribed spacer region". The stretch from base 1 to 46 matches the Rfam family "Eukaryotic small subunit ribosomal RNA", at positions 1786 to 1831 of the family's 1831-position model. Lineage: Eukaryota; Fungi. The record is from RNAcentral.
AAGUCGUAACAAGGUUUCCGUAGGUGAACCUGCGGAAGGAUCAUUAACAAAUUUUCCCAACCAAACACGUUUGUGAACUGUUAUCAAGUCCAUGGUGUGCACCGUCCUAGGCUGAGCGGGUGUUGGCGCGGUACUAUGCCGCGCCCUCUCCACCCACCUAGGCGGACCACCGUGUUUAUUUACGUCUGACUUACACCUGAACUGAGACUUUAUUUUAAAUAAAGACAACUUUUAGCAACGGAUCUCUAGGCUCUC